RNAcentral lists this ribosomal RNA (502 nucleotides) under uncultured actinomycete. RNAcentral describes it as "bacterial SSU rRNA". It matches the Rfam family "Bacterial small subunit ribosomal RNA", at positions 1 to 525 of the family's 1533-position model. The record is from RNAcentral. Lineage: Bacteria; Bacillati; Actinomycetota; Actinomycetes; Actinomycetales.
UAGAGUUUGAUCAUGGCUCAGGACGAACGCUGGCGGCACGCUUAAAACAUGCAAGUCGAACGUGAAGCCCGGGCUUGCCCGGGUGGAAAGUGGCGAACGGGUGCGUAACACGUGAGCAACCUGCCCCGAAGACCGGGAUAACACCGGGAAACCGGUGCUAAUACCGGAUGCCUUCACCAUGUCGCAUGGCAAGGUGAAGAAAUGGAUUCCGCUUCGGGAUGGGCUCGCGGCCUAUCAGCUUGUUGGUGGGGUAACGGCCUACCAAGGCAACGACGGGUAGCUGGUCUGAGAGGAUGUCCAGCCACACUGGGACUGAGACACGGCCCAGACUCCUACGGGAGGCAGCMGUUAGGAAUCUUGCGCAAUGGGCGRAAAGCCUGACGCAGCGAUGCCGCGUGCGGGAUGAAGGCCUUCGGGUCGUAAACCGCUUUCAGCAGGGACGAUUGUGACGGUACCUGCRGAAGRAGCCCCGGCCRACUACGUGCCAGCCGCCGCGGKWUUC